Molecule: unclassified non-coding RNA, 642 nt
Filed under: Hevea brasiliensis (rubber tree)
Lineage: Eukaryota; Viridiplantae; Streptophyta; Magnoliopsida; Malpighiales; Euphorbiaceae
Source: RNAcentral
GCCUUCUAGUCAUGAUCUUCAAAGGAGGAGGAAUUUUCGUCCAAGGCCUUCCAGGUUUUGCUUAAUGAAUGCCAAUAGAGAUGGGUUUGCAGUUUCUUGAUCUUAAUUAGAUUCAAGAAUUUUGGGGUGUUUUUUUGUCCCCUUUUAUUCUUGAAUAUUGGAAUAACAGUAUGUAGAUACGAGGGAUAUGUAGAUAUAAAGAUUAUUUGGUUAUUGCAUAAGAGGAAAGAAAUUAAAUUAAAGAUUAGGAAUAUGGUAUUGUAAUUGGUGGUCUCAAAUGUCAAUUGCCAGUUUUAGAUUAUUGAUUUGAGACCCAAAAGGCUAUGAAUACAGUCAAGAAAUAGAGAUUGAUGAAUCUAUUGUUCAUUUGCAGUUUCUGCUUUAUUUGGGUGUUCAAGAUCCAACAAAGAAAGGUGAUGAAAUUAUUAAAAAAAAAACAUUCAUGUAACAUUUGGGUGCUUUGUAUGUCUAUGGUCAGAUACACGUUUUUCUUGAUAUGUAAUAAUAUUUUAUUAUACAAUGUUGAGCAUUUGGUGGCUGAGAUGGGUUUUUUUUCAGAACUUUAUUAGGCUAGCUUCUGAUAAUGUUGUAAUUAAUUUAGUUUUAACAAGAUCCAAUGUCAAGAACAUUUUUAACUUGGUC